UUCAAGUUGGAUGGGUUCCUGCUAAAUAAUUAGCUGUAAAGUGGAAGCUAGGUGCUGGCAAUUUCUUAGCUAAGCUAUCUAUACUGAACAAAAAUAUAAACGCAACAUGUAAAGUGUCUGCCAUCUGUCCUGUACAGUUGAAAUCCGGAUUCAUCUGAGCAUACUUCUCCAGCCUGCCAGUGGCCAACAAAGGUGAGCAUUUGCCUACUGAAAUCGGUAAUGACCCUGAGCUGCAGUCAGAUCAAGAGCCUGGUGAGGACAACAAGCACGCAGAUGAGCCCCAACGCAGCUUUGCGGACUGCUCCAUUGACAAUUAAUGACUUCUGUCAGAACGCAAAGAGUUUGAUGCAUCUGGUGGAAAUGAGACUUAAUGCUUCGUUUACAUUUCCCAUAAGCGCCAUUUACUUGCGCCAGAUGUCAUGCAUUUCAAUGGGGACGUCGGUAACAGAGUGGAAUCGCAACUCCCCCUUGCGGUUGAAGGCUCUGUUGCGAGACGGACACUGCAUAUUUUGACAUUUUCCAAACUUUGCAUCGUCUCAACCCACAAGAGAAGAUGAAAAUGUGGUUUUCCCUGAUGUCUUUAUGGGAUAGCUAUCACAUUGUAAACCAUUACACAUUCCUAUAAACAUUGAUGCGCAAGAAGAGACCCUCUGUGGAAAAAAGCAAAAGUGCUGCUCCACCAGAUGUGUCAAGGGCUGGUGUCAUCUUGAGAAAAGGAAGUAUAUCCAAUGAAAUUGCUGUAGAACAAAUGGUUUUCCAAAAGAGACUCCAGCAACGACUGAAAAAGAGUCCCAGAUACCCCGGGAUUGUCCAGGAGUUAAUCAAAGGACUGGAGUCUCACAUUGAGGAUCCUGAGAGGUUCAGGAACUGUCUCCUCCCUGUGUACCACGCCUGGCCGAUGUGACCUGCAGCUGUCAGUUCAUUUUAGGAGAGUCUGCUGUGCAUGCUGCUGGGGAUCGAGAUGCUGCAGGUUUGACAGCCUCGCUCUAUGCAAAAACACCUUGGUCUAAGUAGUGUUGGGGCUGCCCUCUGAUCCUGACUGACAUGGAUGUGGUGGAGAAGUCAGAGAGCCUGUCCAAGCCAGGUAGAGUUCCUCUCUGGCCUGCUCUUCCACACCAUCAACUGGUUUAGAGAGAAAUCCCUGGCUACGCUCCUCCUCUAGCCAACGUUGAUGGGGAGAGUACAGAGGGAGCUCCCGUGUCUAGCUCCACUGCUAUUCCAAAGAAGGGAAAGAAAAUAUAUAUUUUUUAAACUUUUUCCUGAGAUGAGAUUCAACACUUAUUGUGGUGCCACAAUCUGCCACAAUCACUUCCAGACUCUGCUGUCUAAAAACCAGGGGGUGGUGGACACCCCAGGUCCUGAUGUGAAGGAGCACCAGCUGCUGUCCUCAGCCUACCAGCUCCUCCUACAGUUCCUACACACCACCUUCAGCUGGUCAGUCACACUUCAACACAACACCACCUGCACACUCCUGCCUUUCAGGACAAUAUCAAAUGACAAUUACUCAGGGUUUGUCAACUGUGGUCCUGGAGAGGUUGGUGUUGGCUUGUUUUGUUUCAGCCCAGCUCUAACACACCUGAUUCAACAAAUGAGAAUCAGGUGUGUUAGUGAUCUGCAACAAAAGCCUGCAGCUAUUGUGUGUUAGGUCUGGUUUUUCCCAACCAGAGCACCAUAGCCUGCUGAAGAGAGCUCUGGGACUGCUGGCUGACCGCCUGAAAGAGGGAGGGCCUGAACUGACCUUGGACCAGCUCAUCCAUUGAGAGACACAGCUUUAAGUACAUCCUGAACUUCCGCAGUACAGUGCCCAGCCUCAGCAUAGCUCUCUGUCUCUCUCAGCUGCUCACCACUGUGGCUGAGAGAGGAGGGCACCAGGCUACAAACAGGGAGCAGACUACAACCCUAGCCCGGCAGUUCCUGUGCCAGGAGUUGGUGACUACGAGCGGAGACCGAGAGAACCAAAGAGGACCCAAAGACAACGAGACUCUCCAAACUCUCCUCAGGCAGUGGAGGAGAUAGCUGGAGAGGGCAUCCCUGAGAUCCUCAACGCAGUAGCCAAAGACGCCAGCUCUAGAACUUGGCCCACUCUCAACAGGGUGAGGAGAUCCUCUCUCAACACUCAAAGGGGAGUUAUGAAGAGGAGGAAGGCUCCCUGCUGCCUCAGGAGCAGUCAGAAGAUGAGGCCCAGGAGAGUGACUCUGAGGAGAAGAAGAAUGGCAACAGGAAGGAAGAGGGGGAUAACGAUGAAAUUGCAGAUGACUCUGAUAAUUAGGACAAUGUGUAGGAAUACUGUCAACUCUGUGAACUCUUGACCUUUGUGUCAACAAACUCUAACCUUGAUUAACCCAUAUCCCUUUGCACCUUCAGAUAGGAAUAGGUCAGGGAGAACCAAGAGAGGAUUCCUUGUGCGUUGCUGCCAUUGAGAAAAUGGGCAAUUAGGGGAUUACUGUGGAAGGAGGGGUCACUAUGUUAGUGGAUGUUCAAAACGCUGCAAACAGCAUUAGAGUGCUGCAUUUUUUCAAACACUAAUGUCUGAGGCUGAGAAAGGGUCUUAUGAAAUUGUGACGUUUUGGAAAGCUGUUGAGUGCAGAAAAGUUAUUUACUUUAAAGAUACAGUAUGUUGCAAUGAAAUACUUCAACUGUAAAAUAUUAUUAUUCAUGUAUAAGUCUCUCUUUAAAUAUUUUACAGAUUUUUUCUAUAAAUAUGUUAAUCAAGUUUAGCAUGUUUUAAAGUAACUCCCCAGUUAAAAUCUCACUUUUAAAAGUUAACAUUCUGUUAACUCAUAUCCAAAUAAUGUUGUUGACUCGUCCUAUACUCGUAUUUGUAGCCAAAGCAUAAAUUGGAGAAGAAACACUUAAAAAACCCCACCUCAAACUUUUUCUCAAACAGACCGUUUAAAUAAAUGCAUGUUAUUUCCUCAUAGAGUAUGUCAUCUCCCUUAGGAUGAGCUGGCCAAUCAGCGCUCUACUAAUAUAAUAAUAUAAAUAAUAUAAUUUUUUAUGACUGGUACGGUAUACCAGCCUGGUAACAUAGACUAGACGUAAAUAUAGUAAAUGUAAAUCCGGAACACUCCAAUUAGUAUGAUAUGUUACUUCAUAAGACAGAUGGUUACAAAAGUGGGGUGGGUGGGUAGGGACAUAACACAAUGUCUAGCAACCCAAAGGUUGCGAGUUUGAAUCUCAUCACAUACAUCUUUAGCUUUUUAGCUAAUUAGCAACCUUUCAACUACUUUAAUACAUUUUUAGCUACAUUGAAAUGACUUAGCAUGUUAUCUAACCCUUUCCCUAGCCCUAAACAACGUAACCCUUUUAGCUAACCCAUCUCCAUCUCUUAACCAAACUCCUAAACAUAACCCUAACCUUAACCCUAGUGCCUAAGUCCUAGCCCAGCUAACACUAGCCAGCUAGCUAACGUUAUCCACCUAGCUAGAAUUCGUAACAUAUCAUACAUUUUGCAAAUUUGUAACAUAUAAUACGAAUUGUAAAUCGUAACAUAUAAUACGAAAUGGGGGAAGGACAUCCACAAAUUAACACAUACAUUAUGAAACAUAUCAUAUGCUGUAUGGAGGGUCUCGAUUUACAUACAGAAUAAUACAAAAUGCUCUGAGACCAGGUUGCAGCAGGCCUGGCUACAACUCUGAUGAUAGAGCUAAAUGUGCGCAAUUGUUUUGGAAUAAUCAAAAAUGUGUAGUUCUGACUAUGCUCUUCAAGAAGUGAUGCUAUUAAAAGCAAAGAGUUAUCAUAUAUAAUGUGACGUACUGUAUCAUUCAAAUAUAUUCAAGUUAGUCUUGUUUCCAGUCUCACAAGCUUGAUUGAUUGCCUGAAACUGUAGUAGAUAAUGCAAUGGGCUCAUUUGAGUGGUAAGGCGAAAACAGCCAACAGUAGACGAAGGUUGAGGAGUGAAGUUGGGGGAGGUGCAUCUGUUGAAAAAACUGAAAGUAGGACACUAACCACAUUUCCAUCCACAGUUUUGCGAGUAAAGUCAUACCGUAUAUAAAAAAAAUCACGACAGCUGUGAUGCAAAAAAGACGUUUCGGUAGAAUUUGCUAAAUGCCAACAGAAAAUUUGUUUGCUCGAUAUGGUGGGAUCUUUUUGUGUCUAAAAUUAAUAUUGCGAGAAAGGUCGGUGAAAACUCCUUUAUGCGCAAAUAUGAAUAUAAUCACCAUCAUAUUGAAGUAAACUUAGUCACACGAUAUGGUGUGUGUGGUCCUCCCACUACGACUCAGGAAACCAAGUAGUUUAUAAGGCUACAGAUGAAAUUAUGUAUGAUGAACUUCACAGGGUGGUGAAUGUGCACAGUGAUCUUGAUGCUCCAAUUACAAUAAAUAUCGAGGGUCUUAUUCUGGUUACAUGAUGAUCGAUGCUUAAAUAUUCUGGCUCUUAUCCAUAAUAAACUCAUCAUGUAGACUAGCCUACCCGCACUGUAUCUGCGAGCUGUUGGCUACAGCGCAUGUGCCAAAACCAUAGUAAGGCACAUUUGUUAUUUAACUCAUCAGUUUUGUGACUAAACUAUCGGUAGGGUUGAAAAUACGAUGGAAACGUUUAACUUUCGAUUUUGAAAACUUCAGUGAAAAGACAAUUCCGUGUGCACUGUCAUCAUGCACAUAUUUUUAUCCGCAACAAGUCCAUGAAAUUGAAACACCAUUGAUGAGAAAAUGUACAUGCUUUCUUUAUGCGGAUUCUAGAAUAUUCGCAUGAAAAUCUGUCGUCAAUUGGAUGGAAACCUGGCUACUGAUGUGGUUUUCCAACAACAAGGCUAAGUACAACAUGGCAGUGUUGCCAUUGUUUAUGAAGGUUGUUCUUCAUGUCGAAAUAAAUGUCUAUAAUCCCCA
Molecule: long non-coding RNA, 4829 nt
Organism: Oncorhynchus tshawytscha (Chinook salmon)
Lineage: Eukaryota; Metazoa; Chordata; Actinopteri; Salmoniformes; Salmonidae
Exons: 14
Source: RefSeq, a predicted model, not a curated record